RNAcentral lists this ribosomal RNA (492 nucleotides) under uncultured bacterium. RNAcentral describes it as "partial 16S ribosomal RNA". It matches the Rfam family "Bacterial small subunit ribosomal RNA", at positions 29 to 507 of the family's 1533-position model. The record is from RNAcentral.
AGUGAACGCUGGCGGUAGGCCUAACACAUGCAAGUCGAACGGCAGCACAGUAAGAGCUUGCUCUUACGGGUGGCGAGUGGCGGACGAGUGAGGAAUACAUCGGAAUCUACUUUUUCGUGGGGGAUAACGUAGGGAAACUUACGCUAAUACCGCAUACGACCUACGGGUGAAAGCAGGGGAUCUUCGGACCUUGCGCGAUUGAAUGAGCCGAUGUCGGAUUAGCUAGUUGGCGGGGUAAAGGCCCACCAAGGCGACGAUCCGUAGCUGGUCUGAGAGGAUGAUCAGCCACACUGGAACUGAGACACGGUCCAGACUCCUACGGGAGGCAGCAGUGGGGAAUAUUGGACAAUGGGCGCAAGCCUGAUCCAGCCAUACCGCGUGAGUGACGAAGGUCUUCGGAUCGUAAAACUCUGUUAUUAGGGAAGAACAAAUGUGUAAGUAACUAUGCACGUCUUGACGGUACCUAAUCAGAAAGCCACGGCUAACUACGUG